UAACACAUGCAAGUCGAGCGGUAACAGGGGGUGCUUGCACCCCGCUGACGAGCGGCGGACGGGUGAGUAAUGCUUAGGAAUCUGCCCAGUAGUGGGGGACAACAGUCGGAAACGGCUGCUAAUACCGCAUACGCCCUACGGGGGAAAGCAGGGGAUCUUCGGACCUUGCGCUAUUGGAUGAGCCUAAGUCGGAUUAGCUAGUUGGUGGGGUAAAGGCCUACCAAGGCGACGAUCCGUAGCUGGUCUGAGAGGAUGAUCAGCCACAUCGGGACUGAGACACGGCCCGAACUCCUACGGGAGGCAGCAGUGGGGAAUAUUGGACAAUGGGGGCAACCCUGAUCCAGCAAUGCCGCGUGUGUGAAGAAGGCCUUCGGGUUGUAAAGCACUUUCAAUAGGGAGGAAAGGUAGUAAGUUAAUACCUUGCAACUGUGACGUUACCUAUAGAAGAAGCACCGGCUAACUCCGUGCCAGCAGCCGCGGUAAUAAGGGCGAAUUC
This 496-nucleotide ribosomal RNA is filed under the name uncultured Gammaproteobacteria bacterium. RNAcentral describes it as "bacterial SSU rRNA". It matches the Rfam family "Bacterial small subunit ribosomal RNA", at positions 49 to 536 of the family's 1533-position model. Lineage: Bacteria; Pseudomonadati; Pseudomonadota; Gammaproteobacteria. The record is from RNAcentral.